This is a long non-coding RNA of Xyrauchen texanus (razorback sucker), 573 nucleotides long. RefSeq lists it as uncharacterized. The transcript has 3 exons. Lineage: Eukaryota; Metazoa; Chordata; Actinopteri; Cypriniformes; Catostomidae. The record is from RefSeq and is a predicted model, not a curated record.
CCUCACAGAGCCUUGGCAGCUGAUGGUGAACAUACAAACUCCUCCUGUUCGAAGCAUAUUGAACCCCUCACCUCUCUCCUCAAUGCACCACAUUUCAGACGGUAAUGGCCUGAGGUCAUUUUCCAUUCUGUAAUGUGUGUGUCAGUGGAGGCAGGCAAAGGUGAGACACUUUAAAGCGGGCGUGGGCAGAAGCAGGAAACCAGAAAGGAAGGAGGAGGGAUGCGCCGUAGUGGAGUUCUCGCCACUACUAUCCACCCCAAAGGUGCAGCCGCGGCCAUCCGCAAGAGAAUGGAGGAGCCGGCCGCCUGGAAGCGGAGGAAUGGCCGCCAAACACAAGGGGAGGAGGGUCUCCCUAGAGGCGUUGGCCGAGGACCAAGCUACGCCGUAUCGGAGAACCGGCGAGUAGACAGGGAUGACCUACCGGCAGACAGGUCGCAAGGCAUGCCCCCACCCCAGGGAAAGGGGCUCCCCGGCCUGAGAGAACAGGGGAGGAAUGUGGCAGGGCGGAGGGUGUGGCAAAUAAUAAUUGAAAGCCUUUUAGCAUAAGGCUGCAGCAUAACAAAAUGUGAAGAA